CCCUUAGAGUUUGAUCCUGGCUCAGAUUGAACGCUGGCGGAAUGCUUUACACAUGCAAGUCGAACGGCAGCACGGGGGCAACCCUGGUGGCGAGUGGCGAACGGGUGAGUAAUACAUCAGAACGUGCCCAGUCGUGGGGGAUAACGUAGCGAAAGCUACGCUAAUACCGCAUACGAUCUACGGAUGAAAGCGGGGGAUCGCAAGACCUCGCGCGAUUGGAUCGGCCGAUGGCAGAUUAGGUAGUUGGUGGGGUAAAGGCUCACCAAGCCGACGAUCUGUAGCUGGUCUGAGAGGACGACCAGCCACACUGGGACUGAGACACGGCCCAGACUCCUACGGGAGGCAGCAGUGGGGAAUUUUGGACAAUGGGCGCAAGCCUGAUCCAGCCAUUCCGCGUGCAGGAUGAAGGCCCUCGGGUUGUAAACUGCUUUUGUACGGAACGAAACGGCCUGCUCUAAUACAGCGGGCUAAUGACGGUACCGUAAGAAUAAGCACCGGCUAACUACGUGCCAGCAGCCGCGGUAAUACGUAGGGUGCAAGCGUUAAUCGGAAUUACUGGGCGUAAAGCGUGCGCAGGCGGUUAUGUAAGACAGAUGUGAAAUCCCCGGGCUCAACCUGGGAACUGCAUUUGUGACUGCAUAGCUAGAGUACGGUAGAGGGGGAUGGAAUUCCGCGUGUAGCAGUGAAAUGCGUAGAUAUGCGGAGGAACACCGAUGGCGAAGGCAAUCCCCUGGACCUGUACUGACGCUCAUGCACGAAAGCGUGGGGAGCAAACAGAUUAGAUACCCUGGUAGUCACGCCCUAACGAUGUCAACUGGUUGUGGGUCUCACUGACUCAGUACGAAGCUAACGCGUGAGUGACCGCCUGGGGAG
Molecule: ribosomal RNA, 873 nt
Filed under: uncultured bacterium
Lineage: Bacteria
Description: bacterial SSU rRNA
Rfam family: Bacterial small subunit ribosomal RNA
Source: RNAcentral